Molecule: long non-coding RNA, 1053 nt
Filed under: Capra hircus (goat)
Lineage: Eukaryota; Metazoa; Chordata; Mammalia; Artiodactyla; Bovidae
Description: lncRNA (ENSCHIG00010005595.1)
Source: RNAcentral
UGGCUUAAGAGUUCAUUUCUUUUUUUUUUUUUUAAUUGGUGAAUGAUAUUCCGUUUUCUGGAUGUACCACUGUUUAUGUAUCCAUUCACCUCCCAAGAGGCAUUUCAGUUACUGUCAGGUUUUGGCAGCUGCGAGUAAAGCUUCUGGGACUCCCCUGGGGGUCCAGGGGCUAAGACUCUGCUCCUGCUGCAGAGGGCACGGGUUCGAGUUCUGAUUGGGGAGCUAAGAUCUUUGCAUGCUGCAAGGUGUGACCGAAAAAAAGAAAAAUCUCGAAACAAACAAAACAGACACUUUUGGGUUGAAUAAAGCUGUUAUAAACAUCUAUGUGCAGGUUUUGGCGUAGGCAUACGGUUUAACAUCAUUUCGGCACAUACCUAGGAGUGAUGUUGCUGGAUCAUACGAUGAGCGUAUGUUUAGCUUUAUUCAGAAACUGCCUAACACCUCCGUGGUAGUGGUACCUUGUUGUUGAUUUAAUUUGUGUUUCCCUGAAGCCAUGACGUGGACCAUCUUUACCCACUUCUUUCUCUAUACCUGAGAUGGUUGGCAGUGAUGAAAUCCAUGUAUGACUUUUCCUCUCACCCGUAGGGGCUCUGAGAGGCGGGCUUCCUCUGUUCUCUAGUGAAAAUACUGCAAAGUAGCCAGCGUGCCUAAGAUCUGUUACAAGAAAGUAUGUUAAAAAUGUGUGGACUGUCUUCAUAUUUUAUUCCUAUUCUUUAUUUUAAUUUAUAGAAAUUUUCUUUGGGAAAUGAGAUGGUCUAGGUCUCAAAUGAAGAAGGGACUGGGGAAUGGACAAAGAAGCUCUCAGGACAAAGAAGCUCUGGGGGUCUCCCACACCGGGAUGAGCAAUGAAGGGAAUCCUGAGCAGGAGGUGAGAGUUCUCCGGUCUCAAGAGGCAAAGUGGAGAUCUUAGACGUGCUCGGGAGUGAGGCGCCAGCUCAGUUGAAGGCGGGGCCACAGUGCAAAUGAGGAAGCCAGCCCAAGUCAACAUACAGACCAUCCUGCAGGGCUCCUCUCCCCCGGUAUGGCAGUGCCAUCUAGUUAGAAGGUUCUUUC